AUUUUGUUAGGUCGUCAUCUUGUCCAGGAAGGUUGUUGUGUUGACGGGUAUAUUGAAAAAGUGAUACACAAUUGGAAUAUCUUCUUGAGGAAUUAUAAACUUGAGGACCAGGGAACACAAUGGAGCAUAUGGAUCACAGCAACCAGCAGGAUUCCAGUAGCUGUGGAGUUUUAAUCUGGAUGUUUGCCAAGGAGUUCCUGCAAACAAGAACAAUAUGUGAAGUGAAGACAUCAGCGGAAUAUUUAAAGGAUGCAAGACUGGAAAUAGCUUGUGCCCUACUAUAGUAUAAAGAUUUAAAAAGAGGGAGAUCCUCGGAAUUGUCCGUCAAUGAUGUUUCCAGUGCACAGACAAAUGCACCACCAUUUUCCGCCGCCUGAUUUUAAAAAGAAGAGCAAACGGCCAUUCUAUAGUAAACUUCCACUAAGCCGAUUCAUACCAGGCUGCAGACCUGACAGAAACUUCUUCUAGUGAUUCCAAAGUGUGGACCACCCAAAGAGAGAGAUCAUUAUAUUAUA
Bufo bufo (common toad) is the source of this 515-nucleotide long non-coding RNA. RefSeq lists it as uncharacterized. The record is from RefSeq and is a predicted model, not a curated record. The transcript is spliced from 4 exons. Lineage: Eukaryota; Metazoa; Chordata; Amphibia; Anura; Bufonidae.